UAUGGUUUUGACAAUUUUGUCUCUUUGAUUGAGAAAGUGAAAUUGUUGUUAAAUGUUUUAAAGAGAUUUAACCGUUUACAUCAGCAAAAAUGUUCAGCCUUGGUGAGCAAAAUUGUCAGCACGUUUUAUGAGAUGGGUGUAUAUUUCUUCUUUCAGGUAACACGAAGAUUACAAGUUUACUAAGAAUUUCAGGGGAGACGAAUGAGUUCAUGAAGGAUGACCACCUCACGAAACCAAGGAUAAAUAUCAACACCCACCACGCCCAUCUCUUGAAGGAAUUCUUAAGUGGUUGUAAAAACUGUCUACCUCGCGGUAACAUCUUGCUAUACGCAUGUGUCUUAAGACAGAUGUUUGGUUACAAAAAUGCAUGCGUUUGAAAUAAAAGUCACUACCACAAGUUAGACAACUUUUAAAAAGAAUUUAAAAAAUGGACCCCAGAGGUGGGUGUGGUGGGGGAGGCUGAAUGGAGAAAAAAAAAACUGUAUCAAAUAAUUGUAAUAUUACUGUAUUAUAUGAUUGUUAGAGAAAGAUUGUAAUAUUACCAUUGUAAUACAUAUUAAAAGAUUGUAUGGUAAUUAUUUACUGUAGUGCUAGUAUAUUAAAAGAUUUUUGUACCCCUUAUGAAAACUGACCAAAUGUGGCGGGUAUGGGGAGAGGUGGUGGACGGGUAGAUAAGUGUUAUAAACUUUCUAAUAGAGGGGGGUGUGGCGGAUGGUGGACGGAUCGACCCCCAAUUUUUCAUUUUAUUCCCUGAAUUGGGAGUCGAUCCAAUUUUGAUUUCUUUCCAAGAUUUAUAUUUGUCGCUGGUAUAAUUCUUAGGGUGAUCGUGUUCCUUGGUAUCAGCUUUGGGUGGUCGAAGAAACC
Long non-coding RNA from Pocillopora damicornis (cauliflower coral), 864 nucleotides. The record is from RefSeq and is a predicted model, not a curated record. NCBI's taxonomy places the organism in Eukaryota, Metazoa, Cnidaria, Anthozoa, Scleractinia, Pocilloporidae.